UACGGGGGGAGCAAGCGUUGUUCGGAUUUACUGGGCGUAAAGGGCGCGUAGGCGGUCAGCACAAGUCAGUUGUGAAAUCUCCGGGCUUAACUCGGAAAGGUCAACUGAUACUGUGCGACUAGAGUGCGGAAGGGGCAACUGGAAUUCUCGGUGUAGCGGUGAAAUGCGUAGAUAUCGAGAGGAACACCUGCGGCGAAGGCGGGUUGCUGGGCCGACACUGACGCUGAUGCGCGAAAGCCAGG
This 242-nucleotide ribosomal RNA is filed under the name uncultured bacterium. RNAcentral's name for it is "partial 16S ribosomal RNA". It matches the Rfam family "Bacterial small subunit ribosomal RNA", at positions 524 to 764 of the family's 1533-position model. The record is from RNAcentral.